Molecule: ribosomal RNA, 427 nt
Filed under: uncultured delta proteobacterium
Lineage: Bacteria; Deltaproteobacteria
Description: bacterial SSU rRNA
Rfam family: Bacterial small subunit ribosomal RNA
Source: RNAcentral
GGGGAAUAUUGCGCAAUGGGGGAAACCCUGACGCAGCGACGCCGUGUGAGGGAAGAAGGCUUUCGGGUCGUAAACCUCUGUCGGGAAGGAAGAACCCCCCAGGUCCGAAUAGGGCCUGGGGCUGACGGUACUUCCAAAGGAAGCACCGGCUAACUCCGUGCCAGCAGCCGCGGUAAUACGGAGGGUGCAAGCGUUAAUCGGAAUCACUGGGCGUAAAGCGCGCGUAGGCGGCUUUUUAAGUCGGACGUGAAAGCCCUCGGCUCAACCGGGGAAUUGCGUUCGAAACUGGGAGGCUUGAGUCCUGGAGAGGUUAGAGGUACUCCCAGGGUAGGGGUGAAAUCCUGUAAUCCUGGGAGGACCACCUGUGGCGAAGGCGUCUAACUGGAACGAACCUGACGGUGAGGGACGAAAGCUAGGGGCGCGAACC